GAGUUUGAUCCUGGCUCAGAACGAACGCUGGCGGCGUGCCUAACACAUGCAAGUCGAGCGCGAAAGGGGUAACCCGAGUAGAGCGGCGCACGGGUGCGUAACACGUGGGUAAUCUGCCCCGGAGACCCGGAUAACCACCCGAAAGGGUGGCUAAUACGGGAUGAGCCCCCGACGUCUUCGGACGUCGAGGGAAAAGGAUGGCCUCUGUUUACAAGCUAUCGCUCCAGGAUGAGCCCGCGGCCCAUCAGCUCGUUGGCGGGGUAACGGCCCACCAAGGCAACGACGGGUAGCUGGUCUGAGAGGACGAUCAGCCACACUGGAACUGAGACACGGUCCAGACUCCUACGGGAGGCAGCAGUGGGGAAUUUUGCGCAAUGGGCGAAAGCCUGACGCAGCAACGCCGCGUGUGUGAUGAAGGUCUUCGGAUUGUAAAGCACUUUCGACCGGGACGAAAAAGCGGGUGCUAAUCAGCCUGCCUUGACGGUACCGGGAGAAGAAGCACCGGCUAACUCUGUGCCAGCAGCCGCGGUAA
Molecule: ribosomal RNA, 532 nt
Filed under: uncultured delta proteobacterium
Lineage: Bacteria; Deltaproteobacteria
Description: bacterial SSU rRNA
Rfam family: Bacterial small subunit ribosomal RNA
Source: RNAcentral